UAACUGAUGAAGAUGUGUUCCCCACAAAAU
This 30-nucleotide non-coding RNA is filed under the name Mus musculus (house mouse). The record is from RNAcentral. Lineage: Eukaryota; Metazoa; Chordata; Mammalia; Rodentia; Muridae. RNAcentral also lists the same sequence under 1 other name.